This 2628-nucleotide ribosomal RNA is filed under the name Triticum aestivum (bread wheat). RNAcentral describes it as "partial small subunit ribosomal RNA". The record is from RNAcentral. Lineage: Eukaryota; Viridiplantae; Streptophyta; Magnoliopsida; Poales; Poaceae.
AUGUGGGUUACCUGUGUGGUAGCAAGAAAACAGCACUGCAACCUUGAAUUUCUUGCGGCACCCAGUCCUUUGUUCUCAACAUCCACCUACUGUGAGCUCAACUUUGUAAGUGUCUUCCGCAAAGAAAAGGAAAAGGUGUUCUCUGAGGAACCAGCCAGAGCCGGAGAUGGCGGAGACGGUGGUAAGCAUGGCGAGGUCCAUGCUGGGAGGCGCUAUCAGCAAGGCCGCCUCUGCUGCGGCCGCGAGCUGAGCUUGGUGAUGGGUGUGCAGAAGGAUAUUUGGUUCAUCAAAGACGAGCUAAAGACGAUGCAGGCAUUCUUGGCAGCCGCUGAAGCAACGAAGAACAGAGACAUGCUGCUUAAAGUGUGGGCAGAGCAAGUAAGGGACCUGUCCUACAAUAUAGAAGAUUGCCUUGAUGAAUUUAUGGUUCAUGUACGGAGCCAAAGCCUGACUAAACGGCUCAUAAAGCUCAAAGAUUGUCGUAGGCUUGCUAUCCAAAUCCGCAACCUGAAAUCAAGAGUUGAAGAAGUGAGCAGCAGGAAUGCACGCUACAACUUGAUCAAGACAGAGGCCUCAACGACCAGUGACAUGGAGGUUUCUUACAUAGAAGAUGUACGUAAUCACUCGGCAAGCAACACUGAUGAAGCAGAACUCGUGGGCUUUACCAAGCCUAGGGAGGAGUUGAUUAAGCUGAUGGAUGUCAACACUAGAGAUGGUGAUGCCAAAGUUAUAUGUGUCAUUGGCAUGGGUGGUUUAGGCAAGACUACUCUUGCAAGAAAAACUUAUGAAAGUAAGGAAGAUAUUGUGAAGAAUUUUUCUUGCUGUGCAUGGAUUACAGUUUCACAGUCAUUUUUCAAGAUAGAAAUGCUCAAGGAUAUGAUCAGGCAACUUCUGGGUGGAGAUUCACUGAAGAACUUGUUGAAAGAACUUGAAGGGAAGGUGGUGCAAGUAAAAGACCUCGCCGAGUACCUCAAUCAAGAGAUUAAGGAUAAGAGGUACCUUAUUAUUCUUGAUGACUUGUGGACCAUAGAUGCAUGGAGGUGGAUUAAAGAUAUUGUUUUUCCUAGUAGUAACAAGAACGGUAGUCGAAUAAUAGUAACAACACGUGAUGUUGGCUUAGCAAAGGAAUGUACUCUUGAAUCCCUUAUCUACCACCUUAAAACCUUAGAGGUAGUCGAGGCCACAAAUUUGCUACUAAAAAAGAGUAGGAAAGUAUCUGAAGAAAUGGACAAAGUUGAAAACUUCAAGAGCAUAGUUGAAAAACUAGUUAAAAAGUGUGGUUGUUUACCACUAGCCAUACUCACAAUUGGAGGGAUCCUUGCCACUAAAAAGAUAGUAGAGUGGGAGCAAUUCUAUAGCCAACUCCCGUCUGAGCUUGAGAGUAACCCAAGCCUUGAAGCAAUGAAGAUGAUGGUUACUUUGAGUUACAACCACUUGCCAUCUCAUCUUAAGCCAUGUUUCUUAUACCUAAGCAUCUUUCCCGAGGAUUCAGAAAUCCAGAUGAGGCGUCUAAUAGAAAGAUGGAUUGCCGAGGGGUUGAUUAGGGUUGGGACUGGGUUGAACAUUGAUGAUGUGGCAAAAGGUUACUUUAAUGAGUUAAUCAACCGAAGCAUGCUUCAAGCAUCAAGGGUGAACAUAGAAGGAGUUGUGAAGAGCUGUCGAGUCCAUGAUAUUGUGCGUGAUGUCAUGAUCUCAGUUUCAAGAGAUGGAAAUUUUGUGCAUCUGGUGGGAAAUAAUGUAACUGGUGCUAUGGAGGAGACCUUCCGACAUGUAGCAUACCAUGGUAGCAUGUGCCAGAAGAUAGAUAUGGAUUGGAGCCACGUCCGAUCAGUAACUGUGUUUGGUGAGAGAUCAUUGGGUCAAUCAGCUUCAGUUUGUUCACCUGACAUGAGAAUGCUCCGGGCCUUGGAUCUAGAGAAUGCACAGUUUCAAGUCACACAGAAGGAUAUCAGCAACAUAGGAUUGUUUCGGCACUUGAAGUAUCUGAAUUUUUCUAAUCCUCCAAGAUAUUCACAUAUUUAUAAACUUCCUAGAUCCAUAGGGAGAUUACAAGGCUUGCGCACUUUGAACAUUAGAGACAGUUAUAUUACAGAACUGCCAACUGAGAUUAGUAAACUCAAGAGUCUACAUAGUCUCCAUUGUACCAGAAGGCAUUGGUACACACACUUUGACCUGUAUGACCCCAAGGAAUGCUUGCUGGAAACACUUUGUCUGCCCAUGUUGUGCACACUUUUGGUUGAUCCUAGUAAGCGUACCCAUAAAGUUGUUGAGCUACACAUGGCCUGGUCUAGCCGUUGGUCCGAGUCAAGGGGUGUGAGGGUGCCAAAAGGAAUCGGCAAACUGAAAGAGCUGCAAAUACUAGAGCUCGUGGACCUCAGACGAACUAGCUGCAAAGCAAUUAAAGAGCUAUGUGAGUUUGUGCAGCUGAGAAAACUGAGUGUGGUAACAAAAGGGGCCACCAAGCAAAAAAGCAAACUACUCUGUGAUGCCAUUCAGAAGCUCACCUGCCUCCGCUCCCUUGAAGUGGAUGGUUCACUCGGGUGGCUGCAUGUUGUCUCCUCUCCUCCUCCCCUGUUGAGAACUUCUGCUUCGGUACACCCCCUCCCCCCCAAGAACGGCUCAGAUUAA